GGGAGAAGGGGGGAGUACACACACACCCCUCUCGGUGCGUGGUGUCUCAGGGCCCAGUGCCCCCACUCUGUGUGGGGAAGCCACGCAGCCCCCACCUAACCCCUGCCAAUGCCGAACCACCUCUGGUGGUGGCAGGGGCAAGCACCUACGAGCUGGGGGGGUCAGAGCGCUUCAUCGCCACGGAUAUCGGCGGUCGGGUCCUGGACGGCGGUGCGUCAGAGCGGGCUGCGACAGCGCACGCGUCCGUGCCACCCAUGUGAUGGACAGCGUGUCAGCGUGACUCGAGCUAUCCCACGCCGGGCCGUCGCACUGCCUGCUGGCGCGGAGAGCCUGAGCGCCGCCCCGAGGGUCGCGCCACGCGAUGGGGGCCCGUGACAGGUCGACUGGAGUGUAACUCAUGUUGGACGGUACAGAGUGGUCACGCGGAGAAAGAAAAGAAACACCCCUUUCUGCAUCUUUGAUGCUGCGCGCUGCUCUUCAUUUUUCUGCCAGCGCACCGUUGCGCUAGGAACUCACAACUUAUUUUCAGCGGCAAGAAUGAGCACUGCAGCCAGGCUUUACUGCAUGAGUGAAGGCAAAGGAACGCCGAUAGUGUGAGGCGCUCAUGUGCGGGCGUUUGCGUUUGCUGUGGCUGCCCUUCGAGCGUGAGUGUGGGAGCGUCUCCGCUUCUGCAGAUUUCGGCUCUCGCGUCGGCAUUACUUUUUUCUGCGCUUCCUCUCCGCGGCUCUAUGUGUUGUGUCGAUGUGAUGCAUCGAUGGAGGGGCGCCGUCCGUGUAAGCGAGACAGUACAGGAGCGAAGCUUUUCUCUGCCCCUUUUUCUGCUUCUUAGCUUCAUGUUGACGAUGCAAGGCACGCUGUCUCCUUCCUGCACAGACCCUGACGCGCACGCAGCGGCUUUCGGUAAAGGCCUUCAUCUUUCUCACCUGCUCGAUUCCUUCCUCUGUUUCUCACGAUGAGACGUACUUCCACACGUACUCUGCCACCUCAAACGUAAAG
This 996-nucleotide unclassified non-coding RNA is filed under the name Leishmania donovani. RNAcentral's name for it is "gene:unknown". Lineage: Eukaryota; Euglenozoa; Kinetoplastea; Trypanosomatida; Trypanosomatidae. The record is from RNAcentral.